RNAcentral lists this long non-coding RNA (835 nucleotides) under Helianthus annuus (common sunflower). Its description in RNAcentral is "hypothetical non coding rna". Lineage: Eukaryota; Viridiplantae; Streptophyta; Magnoliopsida; Asterales; Asteraceae. The record is from RNAcentral.
GCCCAAACCCUACACAACAAUGACGUUUCUUCUUCCUAAGCUACCGGACGCACAUCGCUACUUCAUCAGUUUCAUCCAGAUUUGUCUUUGAGAGUUCGUAUAGAAGUUCAGAUGCUUAUCGUUGAAUGACAAUUACUCCGUCUCCGUCAUGAUGGCGACUAAAACCUUAUUUGCUGAUGAAUUCGUCGAAACUCAACGGUAUGAUGUAUGAUUAACCUUACGGUUUACCAAUUUUUUUUACCAUUUCUUCACGUAGAAUGCAAAAAAAAAAAAAAAAAAAAACAAACAAACAAACGAAUUUGCAGAGUAAUUGGUGAGUGUUUACAGUAGGUAAUGGUGAGUGUAUAGACACCCUUUUUUGUCAAUUGGUUGAAAAUUGUCUUAGAUUUGUAUGCAUUAUGAUUUCUCAUUUGACCCGUUAAGUCGUUUACCCAACGCAACAUGUUAGUUUAUAUUCCAUCUACAGACGCGAAAAGAAGCCCUAGAAGCUAAGACCUCAUGGUUUUCUGGUGACGAGCUCAGACGGGUCCAGAGGCAGAGCAACCAUGGUACUCGGGCCUGAUGACGACAUGUUGAACGAAUCCGACGUAGAGCACCAGAUCCAAAAUUUCCAAAGGGUUACGGAGUUUAGGAUUUCUUCACAAAGGGUGACAUAUCGUCUCUAAUCAUAUGAACAGAUGUAGCAAAAAUCUAGUCUUGUUGUAUUUAUGAAUACUAGUUCUUGUUAUAUUUAUUAAUAGUUAUUCUGUGAAUCAUGGGGACAAAGUAGAUUUUUAAAAUUGUUGCUGAAGACCUUGUAGUUUAUUUGGCAAAUGAAUAAUUUACACUGGUUUUU